GGAGUCGUGGCCGAGUUGGUCGAAGGCGCGGGCCUGUAGAGCCCGUUCCCCUAGCGGGACGCGGAGGUUCGAAUCCAUCCCGACUCCACCA
RNAcentral lists this transfer RNA (91 nucleotides) under Staphylococcus aureus. Its description in RNAcentral is "tRNA-Tyr". It matches the Rfam family "tRNA". Rfam says of the family: Transfer RNA (tRNA) molecules are approximately 80 nucleotides in length. Their secondary structure includes four short double-helical elements and three loops (D, anti-codon, and T loops). RNAcentral also lists the same sequence under 12 other names. The record is from RNAcentral. Lineage: Bacteria; Bacillati; Bacillota; Bacilli; Caryophanales; Staphylococcaceae.